This 330-nucleotide ribosomal RNA is filed under the name uncultured bacterium. RNAcentral's name for it is "bacterial SSU rRNA". It matches the Rfam family "Bacterial small subunit ribosomal RNA", at positions 568 to 898 of the family's 1533-position model. The record is from RNAcentral.
UGUGUAGGCGGUUGCUUAAGUUUGGUGUGAAAUCUCCCGGCUCAACUGGGAGGGUGCGCCGAAUACUGAGUGACUAGAGUGCGGGAGAGGAGAGUGGAAUUCCUGGUGUAGCGGUGAAAUGCGUAGAUAUCAGGAGGAACACCGGUGGUGUAGACGGCUCUCUGGACCGUAACUGACGCUGAGACACGAAAGCGUGGGUAGCAAACAGGAUUAGAUACCCUGGUAGUCCACGCCCUAAACGAUGCAUAUUUGGUGUGGGCAGUUCAUUCUGUCCGUGCCGGAGCUAACGCGUUAAAUAUGCCGCCUGGGGAGUACAGUCGCAAGGCUGAA